GCCGGGGUGGCCGAGCGGACCAAGGCGGCGGGCUCGAGACCCGUUGCCCCGAGGAGGGGCGCGCGGGUUCGAAUCCCGCCCCCGGCGCCA
This 90-nucleotide transfer RNA is filed under the name Thermodiscus sp. Its description in RNAcentral is "tRNA-Ser". It matches the Rfam family "tRNA". From Rfam's summary of the family: Transfer RNA (tRNA) molecules are approximately 80 nucleotides in length. Their secondary structure includes four short double-helical elements and three loops (D, anti-codon, and T loops). Lineage: Archaea; Thermoproteati; Thermoproteota; Thermoprotei; Acidilobales; Acidilobaceae. The record is from RNAcentral. RNAcentral also lists the same sequence under 1 other name.